GAAAUGCGAUAAGUAAUGUGAAUUGCAGAAUUCAGUGAAUCAUCGAAUCUUUGAACGCACAUUCCGCCCGCCAGCACUCUGGCGGGCAUGCCUGUUCGAGCGUCAUUUCAACCCUCAGAACCCCUUGCGGGAUCUGGCGUUGGGGAUUGGCAUCCAGCCAGCCCCGAAAUCUAGUGGCGGUCCCUCCGCGACCUCCCCUGUGCAGUAGCGAUACCUCGCAGCGGGACAGCGGUCUGACCACGCCGUAAAACCCCCAACUUCUCAAGGUUGACCUCGAAUCAGGUAGGAAUACCCGCUGAACUUAAGC
Molecule: unclassified non-coding RNA, 307 nt
Filed under: plant metagenome
Description: partial contains 5.8S ribosomal RNA, internal transcribed spacer 2, and large subunit ribosomal RNA
Rfam family: 5.8S ribosomal RNA (bases 1-105)
Source: RNAcentral